GAAUUCGCCCUUGAGAGAAGUCGUAACAAGGUUUCCGUAGGUGAACCUGCGGAAGGAUCAUUG
This 63-nucleotide ribosomal RNA is filed under the name Roldana suffulta. Its description in RNAcentral is "partial 18S ribosomal RNA". It matches the Rfam family "Eukaryotic small subunit ribosomal RNA", at positions 1769 to 1831 of the family's 1831-position model. The record is from RNAcentral. Lineage: Eukaryota; Viridiplantae; Streptophyta; Magnoliopsida; Asterales; Asteraceae.